AUGGAAGGGCUCCUCCAUUGGGAUUUCAACCCCGGCCUCAAGGUCGAGGAACAGGUUCAUCGACGGUUCAAAUCUUCGGUCCAUUUCUCCCCUUCAUCUACCUCCAAGGAGUUUUUCUUGGUGGUCACCUUCUCUUCUGCCUCCUUUCCCUUAUCUUGUGACUCGGUUGGCUUGGCACUCCAAUGUUGCAUUGGAGGGAAUGUGUCUGGAUUCAAUGUUGUUCAUAUUGGAUCACAAAGCUUUCGGUUUUCUGUGGCCUCAAACAAGGUGGGUCACUUUAUCUCUGCCCUAAGGGAUAGAGUUUGGCCAGAUUUCGUGUGCCAUUUUGGACUGUUUAAACAGCAUUGGAUUGCUCCUUUUAAUGGUUCAUAUGGAUGGAGCACGUCACAUGAAAUCCAGGAAAUUGGUUCACGAUUACCCAAGGCUGUUCGCCAUACUCUUGGCUUUCUCGAGCAAAGUGCGACCAAGGAUGAUUCAUCUCGGCAGGAGUUGGCAAAAUUUGGUUUCUCCAAGCACAUCUCAACUAACUUGCUAUGUUCUUUUGAUGAUGUAUCCACUCAUCGGGAUGAUCAUGGUCUUGGUCAUGUUCAUGAGGAUCUUCCUUCGAGUGCAACUCUGAACAAGGAAACCUUACAAUUUGGUAGCUUGGAAUUUCCGCUAUCCCUGGAGAAUCAUAAUUUCCUUACCAAAAAAAUCUUUUGGCAAGAAUCGCAAUGCACGCAAUUGGUGCAACAUUCCCUCACACAUUUUGGAGGAGAUCUUGGACUUAAGGUAGGCUAA
This 780-nucleotide ribosomal RNA is filed under the name Triticum aestivum (bread wheat). RNAcentral's name for it is "partial small subunit ribosomal RNA". The record is from RNAcentral. Lineage: Eukaryota; Viridiplantae; Streptophyta; Magnoliopsida; Poales; Poaceae.